Molecule: ribosomal RNA, 1974 nt
Filed under: Tragelaphus strepsiceros (greater kudu)
Lineage: Eukaryota; Metazoa; Chordata; Mammalia; Artiodactyla; Bovidae
Description: bacterial LSU rRNA
Rfam family: Bacterial large subunit ribosomal RNA
Source: RNAcentral
UCGAACCCGGAGAUAGCUGGUUCUCCUCGAAAUAGCUUUAGGGCUAGCCUCAUAGAUGAUUCGUGGAGGUAGAGCACUGAAUGUGCGCGGGGGCGAGAGUCUACCAAACACUAUCAAACUGCGAAUGCCAUAGAAUUGGACUAUGGGAGUCAGUCCGCGAGAGAUAAGUUCCGCGGGCAAAAGGGGAACACCCCAGAUCAACCGCUAAGGUCCCCAAGUACACGUUAAGUGGAGAAGGAUGUGGAAUUGCACAGACAACCAGGAUGUUGGCUCAGAAGCAGCCAUUCAUUGAAAGAGUGCGUAAUAGCUCACUGGUCGAGUGACUCUGCGCCGAAAAUGUCCGGGGCUGAAACGUGACACCGAAGCGAUGGAUUUGCGCUUAGGCGCAAGUGGUAGAGGAGCAAUGUGUACAGGCUGAAGCAUGAUCGAAAGGACGUGUGGACAGUACACAAGAGAGAAUGCCGGUAUGAGUAGCGAGAGCCAUGCGAGAAACAUGGCCGUCGAAAGCCCAAGGUUUCCUGGGGAAGGUUCAUCCACCCAGGGUAAGUCGGGACCUAAGCCAAGGACAGAAGUCGUAGGCGAUGGACAGCAGGUUCAUAUUCCUGCACUGCCGGGGAAUGAAGCAGUGACACAGAAGGAUAGCCUGAGCAGGGUGAUGGUCAACCCUGUCCAAGCAGUAAGGCCGGGAUUUAGUGAAGUACGAAUCCCGUGAAGGCUGAGCUGUGAAGGGGAGCGAAAUGAAGUAGCGAAGCAGGUGAGUUCACGCUGGCGAGAAAAGCUGCUAGUAUAUCCGAAGGUACCCGUACCGGAAACCGACGCAGGUGGGCGAGGAGAGAAUCCUGAGACGAACGGGAGAACCCUUGUUAAGGAACUCGGCAAAAUGACCCCGUAACUUCGGGAGAAGGGGUGCCACGAGAGUGGCCGCAGAGAAUAGUCACAAGCGACUGUUUAGCAAAAACACAGGUAUCUGCGAAAGCGAGAGCUGACGUAUAGGUGCUGACACCUGCCCGGUGCUGGAAGGUAAAGGGGAAAUGUCAUCGCAAGAGAAGCAUAGAACCGAAGCCCCAGUAAACGGCGGCCGUAACUAUAACGGUCCUAAGGUAGCGAAAUUCCUUGUCGGGUAAGUUCCGACCCGCACGAAUGGUGUAACGAUUUGAGCGCUGUCUCAACAGGGGGCCCGGUGAAAUUGAAGUAUGGGUGAAGAUGCCCAUUACCCGCGACUGGACGGAAAGACCCCGUAGAGCUUUACUGUAGCCUGAUAUUGGAUUUCGGUAACUGAUGCACAGGAUAGGUGGGAGGCUUAGAAACCCGGCUUUCGGGACGGGCGGAGCCGCCGUUGGGAUACCACUCUUCGGUUAUUGGAAUUCUAACAUGGACCCGUGAAACCGGGUAAUGGACAGUGUCAGGUGGACAGUUUGACUGGGGCGGUCGCCUCCGAAAGAGUAACGGAGGCGCCCAAAGGUACCCUCAGAAUGGAUGGAAAUCAUUCGAAGAGUGCAAAGGCAGAAGGGUGCCUGACUGCGAGAGUGACAAUUCGAGCAGAGACGAAAGUCGGGCUUAGUGAUCCGGCGGUAUUGAGUGGAAAAGCCGUCGCUUAACGGAUAAAAGCUACCUCGGGGAUAACAGGCUGAUCUCCCCCAAGAGUCCACAUCGACGGGGAGGUUUGGCACCUCGAUGUCGGCUCGUCGCAUCCUGGGGCUGAAGCAGGUCCCAAGGGUUUGGCUGUUCGCCAAUUAAAGCGGCACGCGAGCUGGGUUCAGAACGUCGUGAGACAGUUCGGUCCCUAUCCAUCGUGGGCGUAGGAGUCAUGAGAGGAGCUGUUCCUAGUACGAGAGGACCGGAAUGGACGCAUCACUGGUGCAACUGUUGUCGUGCCAACGGCACAGCAGGGAAGCGAAAUGCGGAUGGGAUAAACGCUGAAGGCAUCUAAGCGUGAAGCCCACCUCAAGAAUAAGACUCCCAUCCGAAAGGAGU